Molecule: ribosomal RNA, 256 nt
Filed under: uncultured bacterium
Lineage: Bacteria
Description: partial 16S ribosomal RNA
Rfam family: Bacterial small subunit ribosomal RNA
Source: RNAcentral
UAAUACGGGGGGGGCUAGCGUUGUUCGGAAUUACUGGGCGUAAAGGGCGCGUAGGCGGCUGAGCAGGUCCGGUGUGAAAUCCCUCGGCUUAACUGAGGAAUUGCGCUGGAAACCGCUCGGCUAGAGUACAGGAGAGGAGGGCGGAAUUCUCGGUGUAGCGGUGAAAUGCGUAGAUAUCGAGAAGAACACCGGUGGCGAAGGCGGCCCUCUGGACUGUCACUGACGCUGAGGCGCGAAAGCGUGGGGAGCGAACGGG